Molecule: long non-coding RNA, 559 nt
Filed under: Cricetulus griseus (Chinese hamster)
Lineage: Eukaryota; Metazoa; Chordata; Mammalia; Rodentia; Cricetidae
Description: lncRNA (ENSCGRG00015032141.1)
Source: RNAcentral
CUAGAUGCCCACAAUUACUAUUCUCUCUUAUCUUAGCUAAGGCAUAUUACGUACAAGACUGGGACACUUCAGGAUGGGACAGCUAUUGGAAUAAUCUCUGUUAUUUGCCAGUUACCUAAAGCCUGGACAUUUGAAUUCUGGAGACAGAAGCACACAGAUCUCUGAGAUCAAGGUCAGCCUGGGCUACACAGUGAGUUCCUCACAGCCAGGCUACACAGUACAACAAAACAACAACAACAAAAAAAAUCUGGUUUUGUGUAUGUUAUUACCCUUUCUUUCUCCUGGACAAUACUUGAUAAUCAUUCUUAUUGUAUAUAGUUUUGUUUAGAACCUUCUUAUUUAGACAAAAGGGGGAAGGGUAGUGGAUAGUCACUCCACCCAUGACCUUGGGAUAUCUGACCCAAUAGAGGUGGUGUUUCUUGUCUGUGAUAGGACCCCCUAAAGGAAAGAAGGGGGGCAGUUGCUCUCGCUCGUGCUUGGCAUGGUUGGACACCAAGCGGUGGAGAGGUGGCCUGGGAUCAGCAGUAGCUUCUGCUUUGUUCUGUAUUUGAGAGUCUGU